CCUACGGGUGGCAGCAGUGGGGAAUAUUGGACAAUGGGGGGGACCCUGAUCCAGCGACGCCGCGUGAGUGAUGAAGUAUCUCGGUAUGUAAAGCUCUAUCAGCCGGGAAGAAAAUGACGGUACCUGACUAGGAAGCCCCGGCUAACUACGUGCCAGCAGCCGCGGUAAUACGUAGGGGGCAAGCGUUAUCCGGAUUUACUGGGGGUAAAGGGAGCGUAGACGGGGCAGCAAGUCUGAUGUGAAAGGUCGGGGGCCAACCCCGGGACUGCAGUGGAAACUGUUGAUCUGGAGUACAGGAGAGGUAAGCGGAAUUCGUGGUGUAGCGGUGAAAUGCGUAGAUAUUAGGAAGAACACCAGUGGCGAAGGCGGCUUACUGG
Molecule: ribosomal RNA, 377 nt
Filed under: uncultured bacterium
Lineage: Bacteria
Description: partial 16S ribosomal RNA
Rfam family: Bacterial small subunit ribosomal RNA
Source: RNAcentral